GAGUCACGGCGGCCCUGCAAGCGGUUGGCCUUAUCUCCGGACUUCGCUGCUCCCGAAAGCCCUCAGCCCGCCUGCCAGGCUACACCUAACUUGCGCCAAGUUCCUCCAGCAGUUCUGGAAAUACUCCCAGGGGCCCAUCGGCUUGGGGUCCCAGGGAAGGAGGGAGGUCUCCUUCCUGGCUGGCUGGAGCAGUUCCAGAAAGCCCGAGCUUGUGGGCCCCUGGCGGCACGGUGCCUAUCUUUCCACCGUUAGCUAAAUUUUCCUUGGGGGUAAGGAUUGUUUCUCCAGAUCUGUCUCAAAAUGCACAUUCCCCAGGGGUGGAGUGCCACCCGACGCUUUGAAGAGGAAACCAGAAGACUGGAGAACUGGGGCGGAUAGAUCUUAGGAGCCAAGAUGGGGAGAGGGGCUGAUGGGGCCGCAGGGAUUUGGCAGCCGCCUAAGCUCCCUCAGGCCCCGCCUGCACCUUUCCCAGCCCCCAGGACUCUAGGGGAAGUGGUGGGUGGGGGAGGGGGAAACAGAGCUGACAGAUUCUGUAAACAGAGCCGGUUUGGGCCUCGGCCAAGGACGGGGUGUCCUGGCCCAGCCUGGGUGUGAGGCCCAUCCGCGGCUCUCCAGGACACCCCGCCCUGCCCGGCUGCCCCGGGGGUGCCCGGCCCAGAGCCAGCUGUAGCCAGGAUGUGUCUGACUUGGGAUGUGGCCAAUUCCCUAGUGGGGAAUGUGCCUGGGAUUGGGGCGAGGGGUGGGGGUAGCAAAGGAGGGAGCUUCUAAGAACUGUCAUUGAUCAUUCAUUCACCCAGUGCCCGGCUCAGCGAAGAGGGCAGCCUCUGGUCCCCGCCUGUGGGAGGUGCCGGUGCUGGAUUGUCGCCCCACCCCCGUCUCCAUCUCCAAUCCUGUCUCUUGCUCUUCUGCUGCCUGAGGCAGAGUCCCCGCGGGGUAGGGAAGCUGAGAGUGGGGCCUCAGGUUCCGAGAGCUCUUCAUUGGCCAGGCCUGUCCCCUUGGCUUGUUGCCAAAUGUGGUGUUCCAUGGCCUCACGAUGGCAAUUCAGAGAUGCAGGAAUGCCCUCAAAAAGGGGAUGAGGGAGGACAGGCAUCCAGGGAUACUCAAGGACACUGUUAGAAGCAGGAGCUGUGGUUAGGAGGUGGGGAGAGGACACGGGUGGCCCCGGGACACUGGCACCCCAGCAGGUGGAGGCAGCUGUGGGCUAUGCCUUUUAAGAUAUGGAGAGGAGUUCCUUUGGGAGGAGAGGAGAUGGGUUGGCUGAGACUCGUAGGCUGGGGCCAGAGUGCCAGCUACAGAUUCUGGACUUUAUUGUAGGGGUGAGCAUUUCCCAAAAUGUGCUCCUGAGUGAUCGUGGGUGGGGUGAACAAAAAAGGGUCCUGGGGGCAAAUGUAUUUGGCAAACACUCUUCAAGAAAGCCUGCAAUCCCAGCAUUUUGGGAGGCCGAGGCGGGAGGAUUACUUGAGCCCAAGAGUUUGAGACCAGCCUGGGCAACAUGGUGAAACCCA
RNAcentral lists this long non-coding RNA (1505 nucleotides) under Homo sapiens (human). Its description in RNAcentral is "HSALNT0329629". The record is from RNAcentral. Lineage: Eukaryota; Metazoa; Chordata; Mammalia; Primates; Hominidae.